GACGAACGCUGGCGGCGUGCUUAACACAUGCAAGUCGAACGGAAAGGCCCUGCUUUUGUGGGGUGCUCGAGUGGCGAACGGGUGAGUAACACGUGAGUAACCUGCCCUUGACUUUGGGAUAACUUCAGGAAACUGGGGCUAAUACCGGAUAGGAGCUCCUGCUGCAUGGUGGGGGUUGGAAAGUUUCGGCGGGUGGGGAUGGACUCGCGGCUUAUCAGCUUGUUGGUGGGGUAGUGGCUUACCAAGGCUUUGACGGGUAGCCGGCCUGAGAGGGUGACCGGCCACAUGGGGACUGAGAUGCGGCCCAGACUCCUACGGGAGGCAGCAGUGGGGAAUAUUGCACAGUGGGCGGAAGCCUGAUGCAGCAACGCCGCGUGCGGGAUGACGGCCUGCGGGUUGUAAACCGCUUUCGCCUGUGACGAAGCGUGAGUGACGGUAAUGGGUAAAGAAGCACCGGCUAACUACGU
This 467-nucleotide ribosomal RNA is filed under the name uncultured bacterium. RNAcentral's name for it is "partial 16S ribosomal RNA". It matches the Rfam family "Bacterial small subunit ribosomal RNA", at positions 28 to 506 of the family's 1533-position model. The record is from RNAcentral.